RNAcentral lists this ribosomal RNA (1046 nucleotides) under Clostridioides difficile. RNAcentral describes it as "partial 23S ribosomal RNA". It matches the Rfam family "Bacterial large subunit ribosomal RNA", at positions 325 to 1381 of the family's 2925-position model. Lineage: Bacteria; Bacillati; Bacillota; Clostridia; Peptostreptococcales; Peptostreptococcaceae. The record is from RNAcentral.
UAUCGUAAUUGAAGAGGUUUGGAAAGACCCACCACAGAAGGUAAUAGUCCUGUAUGUUAAACGAGAAGACUUUAGAUAUGAUCCAGAGUACCACGGGACACGUGAAACCCUGUGGGAAGCAGGAGGGACCACCCUCCAAGGCUAAAUACUACCUAGUGACCGAUAGCGUAUAGUACCGUGAGGGAAAGGUGAAAAGAACCCCGGGAGGGGAGUGAAAUAGAACCUGAAACCCUGCACUUACAAGCUGUGGAAGCACAUUUCUUGUGUGACCGCGUACUUUUUGUAGAACGGGCCAACGAGUUACGUUAAGUAGCAAGGUUAAGCACUUAAGGUGUGGAGCCGUAGCGAAAGCGAGUUUUAACUGAGCGUUCAGUUACUUGACGUAGACCCGAAACCGGGCGACCUACCCAUGAGCAGGAUGAAGCGAAAGUAAAAUUUCGUGGAGGUCCGAACCCACGAGCGUUGAAAAGCUCGGGGAUGACUUGUGGGUAGCGGUGAAAUUCCAAUCGAGCCCGGAGAUAGCUGGUUCUCCCCGAAAUAGCUUUAGGGCUAGCCUCAAGGUGAGAGAUACGGAGGUAGAGCACUGAAUGUCCUAGGGGGUAUUGCACCUACCGAAGACUAUCAAACUCCGAAUGCCGUCAUCUUAUACUUGGGAGUCAGACUGUGGGUGAUAAGAUUCAUAGUCGAAAGGGCAACAGCCCAGAUCGUCAGCUAAGGUCCCUAAAUGUAAGUUAAGUGGUAAAGGAUGUGGGAUUGCACAGACAACCAGGAUGUUGGCUUAGAAGCAGCCACUCAUUCAAAGAGUGCGUAAUAGCUCACUGGUCGAGUGAUCCUGCGCCGAAGAUUUCCGGGGCUAAAACUUACUACCGAAGCUACGGCAUCAGUAAUGAUGGGUAGGGGAGCUUCCCAUACGGGUUGAAGCAUGACCGUAAGGACAUGUGGACAGUAUGGGAGUGAGAAUGUUGGCAUGAGUAGCGAGAUGUGGGUGAGAAUCCCACAGGCCGUAAACCCAAGGUUUCCAGGGGAAGGUUCGUCCGCCCUGGGUU